ACUUUUAUCACCACUCAAUCCAUUCCCUUCGCAACUUCGUUAUCUACAAUAUGUUGCUAGGAGAAACAUUUCACCAGAAUGGCCACCUACUGAACGAGCUAUUUCUCUGGAUUGCCUCAUCCUUCGAGCUAUUCCAAGCUUUGAUGCCUGUAACGGUUGCAGACCAUUAGUUCGCAUUUUUGGGCGGAACCUCCAUGGAAAGGCUGGUCUUUCGACGACCAUGCUGUUUUCCAUGUCCAAGAAGAAACACUUACGACAAUAUAGACAGGUAGAAAGCCUAAUACUUAUGUUGUGACUUGCUAGGUAUAUUCAUCUAUCUCUGUGGCAACAUAAGCUGUUUUCUUUCUACAGGCCGAAUGUGAUGUCAUAAAAAUUGACAUUCAAUGCUUAGUUCAAGGAGAUGUUGUUUUAGAAUGUCUUCACCUAGAUUUGGAUGCUGAAAGGGAAAUCAUGAUGUUUCGAAUAAUGUUCAACACUGCAUUUAUUCGUUCAAACAUCUUGAUGCUGAACUGUGAAGAUAUUGAUAUUCUUUGGGGUUCAAAGGAUCGAUUUCCAAAGGGUUUUCGAGCAGAGGUAAUUAUUAUCGAGUUUAGUUGAAAUAUAUGCCUAUUCCUGUAUUCUGGUUUUCGGCGCUCUUUUCAAUAUGGCUUUUGUCAGGGGACUCCCUUUUAUUUUUUUAGGUUCUUUUUGGCGAAAUUGAAAGCGUCUCUCCUCGUAGAGCUCCAACUGCAACAUUUAAUGAAGAGGAGAAAGGUGGAUUACCUAUUGAGGCAUUCUCCAAAGUUCAAGAACUCUUUGGUGGUGUCGAAUGGGUUGAUGGUGGAGAUGAUGCUGCUUUAUGGUUGCUCAAACAGAUCUCUGCAAGUGCCUUGCAAGAAAAACUUGAAAAACUAAUCCUGAGUGAUGUUAAAGAAUUGACAAGACUCCAGACUAAAGUGGCAAGAAAGAAAUAUCUUACAUCGCCAACUGAUUCUGAAGAUGAUCUGGCUUCUGAAAACUCUGAUGUUCUUGACUCAGUGGAUGCUGGAAAGGAUCAACAAGUCACGAAUGUUUUGGAGAACCUGCCUACCAGUACUACUUCCUUGCCUUCAACUUUGAUUGAUAAAUAUCCUGUUGACAUUCUCCUGUCUCCCCCUCCUCCACCGCCAUCAUUUGAGCGACUUUCACAAGUAAAUGGUGACGAUGCCACACAGACAGCGCCAUCAGUUUCUUUUCAAGCUCCCCAAUCAGUGCAUCCCCCUCCACCUCCACCUCCACCUCCACCUCCUCCCCCUCCUCCUCCCCCACUUACACAGUUAUCUACUGCCUUGCAUACCAAAUCUUCUAGAGCACCUCCUCCUCCCCCUCCACCACCGCCACCACCGCCACCACCACCAAGACUACCGCAACCCAUUCUGCUGCAUCCUCUUUCUUCAGUGCAUGACAAAGCUUCUCCACCUUCCUCAACAGUCCCACUGCAAAAUAUGAUCAUCAAAGCUCCACCACCGCCUCCUCCUCCUCCUCCUCCUCGUCCUCCUCCACCUUCACCUCUUCCACAGAUAGUCACGUCCAGUAGGAACCCAUCUCCUCCCCCUCCUCUUGUAAGUUCUAAAAAUGUUCCACAGCCAGUACCACGACCUACAGCUAAACCUAUUAAGGAUGCACCACCUCCACCUCCACCGNNNNN
RNAcentral lists this long non-coding RNA (1666 nucleotides) under Spirodela polyrhiza (greater duckweed). Its description in RNAcentral is "long non-coding RNA (SPOL_LNC000929)". The record is from RNAcentral. Lineage: Eukaryota; Viridiplantae; Streptophyta; Magnoliopsida; Alismatales; Araceae.